This 73-nucleotide transfer RNA is filed under the name Candidatus Woesearchaeota archaeon. Its description in RNAcentral is "tRNA-Asp". It matches the Rfam family "tRNA". Rfam says of the family: Transfer RNA (tRNA) molecules are approximately 80 nucleotides in length. Their secondary structure includes four short double-helical elements and three loops (D, anti-codon, and T loops). The record is from RNAcentral. Lineage: Archaea; Nanobdellati; Candidatus Woesearchaeota.
GCCCUGGUAGUCUAGUGGCCUAGGAUACAAGCCUGUCGCGCUUGGGACCCGGGUUCAAAUCCCGGCCAGGGCG